GAAGGUGGCCUGUGAGGGUUGCUGGAGGUAUCAGAAGUGCGAAUGCUGACAUAAGUAACGAUAAAGCGGGUGAAAAGCCCGCUCGCCGGAAGACCAAGGGUUCCUGUCCAACGUUAAUCGGGGCAGGGUGAGUCGACCCCUAAGGCGAGGCCGAAAGGCGUAGUCGAUGGGAAACGGGUUAAUAUUCCCGUACUUGGUGUUACUGCGAAGGGGGGACGGAGAAGGCUAUGUUGGCCGGGCGACGGUUGUCCCGGUUUAAGCGUGUAGGUGUGUGUUCCAGGUAAAUCCGGUUCACUUUAACACUGAGGCGUGACGACGAGGCACUACGGUGCUGAAGCAACAAAUGCCCUGCUUCCAGGAAAAGCCUCUAAGCAUCAGGUAACAUCAAAUCGUACCCCAAACCGACACAGGUGGUCAGGUAGAGAAUACCAAGGCGCUUGAGAGAACUCGGGUGAAGGAACUAGGCAAAAUGGUGCCGUAACUUCGGGAGAAGGCACGCUGACACGUAGGUGAAGUGAUUUACUCAUGGAGCUGAAGUCAGUCGAAGAUACCAGCUGGCUGCAACUGUUUAUUAAAAACACAGCACUGUGCAAACACGAAAGUGGACGUAUACGGUGUGACGCCUGCCCGGUGCCGGAAGGUUAAUUGAUGGGGUCAGCGCAAGCGAAGCUCCUGAUCGAAGCCCCGGUAAACGGCGGCCGUAACUAUAACGGUCCUAAGGUAGCGAAAUUCCUUGUCGGGUAAGUUCCGACCUGCACGAAUGGCGUAAUGAUGGCCAGGCUGUCUCCACCCGAGACUCAGUGAAAUUGAACUCGCUGUGAAGAUGCAGUGUACCCGCGGCAAGACGGAAAGACCCCGUGAACCUUUACUAUAGCUUGACACUGAACAUUGAGCCUUGAUGUGUAGGAUAGGUGGGAGGCUUUGAAGUGUGGACGCCAGUCUGCAUGGAGCCGACCUUGAAAUACCACCCUUUAAUGUUUGAUGUUCUAACGUGGACCCGUUACCCGGGUUGCGGACAGUGUCUGGUGGGUAGUUUGACUGGGGCGGUCUCCUCCUAAAGAGUAACGGAGGAGCACGAAGGUUGGCUAAUCCUGGUCGGACAUCAGGAGGUUAGUGCAAUGGCAUAAGCCAGCUUGACUGCGAGCGUGACGGCGCGAGCAGGUGCGAAAGCAGGUCAUAGUGAUCCGGUGGUUCUGAAUGGAAGGGCCAUCGCUCAACGGAUAAAAGGUACUCCGGGGAUAACAGGCUGAUACCGCCCAAGAGUUCAUAUCGACGGCGGUGUUUGGCACCUCGAUGUCGGCUCAUCACAUCCUGGGGCUGAAGUAGGUCCCAAGGGUAUGGCUGUUCGCCAUUUAAAGUGGUACGCGAGCUGGGUUUAGAACGUCGUGAGACAGUUCGGUCCCUAUCUGCCGUGGGCGCUGGAGAACUGAGGGGGGCUGCUCCUAGUACGAGAGGACCGGAGUGGACGCAUCACUGGUGUUCGGGUUGUCAUGCCAAUGGCACUGCCCGGUAGCUAAAUGCGGAAGAGAUAAGUGCUGAAAGCAUCUAAGCACGAAACUUGCCCCGAGAUGAGUUCUCCCUGAGACUUUAGGUCUCCUGAAGGAACGUUGAAGACGACGACGUUGAUAGGCCGGGUGUGUAAGCGCAGCGAUGCGUUGAGCUAACCGGUACUAAUGAACCGUGAGGCUUAACCUUACAACGCCGAAG
Molecule: ribosomal RNA, 1707 nt
Filed under: Salmonella enterica subsp. enterica serovar Bovismorbificans
Lineage: Bacteria; Pseudomonadati; Pseudomonadota; Gammaproteobacteria; Enterobacterales; Enterobacteriaceae
Description: partial 23S ribosomal RNA
Rfam family: Bacterial large subunit ribosomal RNA
Source: RNAcentral